GGGGUUAGAGCUCAGUGGUAGAGCGCCUGCUUGGUGUGCAUGAGGUCCUGGGUUCAAUCCCCAGUGCUGCCG
This 72-nucleotide transfer RNA is filed under the name Camelus bactrianus (Bactrian camel). It matches the Rfam family "tRNA". Rfam says of the family: Transfer RNA (tRNA) molecules are approximately 80 nucleotides in length. Their secondary structure includes four short double-helical elements and three loops (D, anti-codon, and T loops). Lineage: Eukaryota; Metazoa; Chordata; Mammalia; Artiodactyla; Camelidae. The record is from Rfam by way of RNAcentral. RNAcentral also lists the same sequence under 1 other name.